This is a non-coding RNA of Gossypium hirsutum (cotton), 108 nucleotides long. NCBI's taxonomy places the organism in Eukaryota, Viridiplantae, Streptophyta, Magnoliopsida, Malvales, Malvaceae. The record is from Rfam.
UUUCCGUGAUGAGAGAAUCUCUAUAAUAAUUCUUUAAAUCUUUCCCACGCCUCAUACAAGGAUUCACCAUCCAUCUGUUGGAAGGUAGUGAUAUCAUUCUACAACUUA